UUUUGCAAAGUCGUCAGACAGGACAUGUUGUAUCAUAUAAAAGUUUUUUUCUGGAACAUUCUACUUCCAAACAUGUCCAGUAAAGUUCAAAGGGCUCUUUUUCCCUCUGGACAUGGCAAUCGUUUUUGUUUGUUUGUUUUGGAUUGUUUUACGUGGCAUAUGUGUUUAUUUAAAUCUCACCCUCAUAGAGGAGUCAUUCAAGCAUGGAUCAGUCAACAAUGGUUACUAUGGCUGCAAGGAGGAAGUGGAACACAAGCCUCCUAGCAGUGUUUACAACAGUCAGUGGUCUCUAAGGUUAACAACAGCUGAGGUUAACUGUGGCUGUUAUUAGGUGUCUGUAGGCUAUUAGACAAGAAGGCCAGAAAACUGGGUCAAAAGCCACAGCCACGUCCUUCCCAAAGAAAUCCCAGUGUGCCUCAUCACACCGGAAGAAGCCCUCCAACCUUCAGUGCCCCUCCCCACUCCCCCGAAAGAUACAACACAGCACUGAAUCAGAAAGAACACCAGGGAACAUUCUAGAACACUACAAGGAAAGGAUUGUAACCCGAGAAUUAUAUAUACAGCCAAGAUAUCCUUUGUAACAGUGACAGGUAUUUGCAGACAUGCAACGACUUGGAGGUUUGAGCACGUACAGAGGAAUCUGGGGACAUAACUGGGGCACAAAUUGACAUCCACGUAUGAACGUGAUGGAGUGACAGAAACCAGACCUUGCCCUCCAUCUGAUGGACAAAAUAUGUGUGAGACGUUUCUGAUAGUUGUCAGGCUACAGCUGUCUGAGAAGGUGAGUCACAUGGCUAAUCCAGCUGACAGCCAAGGGACCGUGUAUCCACUGAGCAACUGGAAAGUGUGUCUGCCUGAGCCCAGCAGACUCCCCAAGAUGGGCAACGAUGGGGAUCUGAGGGGUUGGUUGAGCUUGAAGGACAGAAGACAGGACAGGAGAGGAGUGCCACACAGAGACAGCAACAAAGUUCUGGAGAUCAUCCUUGAGGUAGCAGCUGAAUGCUGAUCAUGGCAUGUCUCCAGGGAAACCAGAACAGCUGGAGAAAGAUGUGCCUUGGGGCAGAGGAAUAAUGAGUUCUGAGGACCAUAAUGAGUUGGAACUAGGAUUCCACCAAGCCAGUUCUGGAAAAUGUAAUUGAAAAGUCUCAGAGGAAUUUGGCCUUCGUAUUAUCCCUGGACUAACACUGUUCUUUCUCUGAGAAAGCAUAAAAUCAAGCUUCAGAAAAACCAACCGACCAGUCAAACUGCUCCAAGUAACUUCACUGCUAGAACCAAUCUCAAGAAUAACCAGGCAAAUAUGAAUACUUCCGGCACUGGACAGCUGCUGGUCAGAGUGCAGAGAGUAAGUGCCUGGGAGUGUUCAGUCUGAAGGGAGACAUCCGAGUCGCUCCAUCUUUCCCUGUAUGGCUCCAGGAAUAUUGUGGAACAUGGGGCAGAAAGCUUGUGAGAGCCAGAGGUUGAAGGACGCUGAAGUAAAGCGGUAUCUUGUGGAGGUGACAGAGCCCUGCAUUCAUCCACUCACAGCAGCCUCGGCUGCCUCCACAGACCUGCAAACACCCAAGCUGGUCAGCAGUCCAGCACUGCACAGAGAGAAGAGGGUCAGGACGCCCCACACCUAGCUGAGCAGUCAUUGACUGCCAGUGACUGUCGGGAAAAGGAGAGUUAUUUCCCUAAGUAGUGUGGCCACAGGCGGGUUGAUUCCUUACCCCCUUGCACACAUGGGCAACACUAACUAGGCUCAUUGGGUUAUAAAAUAAUAAAAUAAUAAUAAGAAAACAGGUAGUUGUGGAUAUGAUGGAGGGAAAGCCAGGGGGAAUGGUGCAGAUGUGAUUGAAAUACACUGUAUUUGUAUAUAAAAUAUCAAAUUAUCCAUUGUUAAAGAAGCAGAAAAAAUACCUUGUAGUAAUGUGGGGGAAAGCAAUUGUAGAACACAAUAAAAACAACAGAUGAGAGCAUCCACAGCUACUAUAACCAUAUUAUGUCUAAAAAGGUACUACUGGGGUGUCUAGUUACACACUUUAUUUGUGCCGAACUCCUAAUUCCACUGCGGUUUAACACCUGAACUUUGCCAGCUCCUUUUUACCUUUGCACACAGCAUAGUGAAGGGAAUGGUCACACGGGGCAUGUCCAGUGUCCAGGUAAGACACAUAAUAUCCCAAGCCUCCUCGUCCUCCUCGUCCUCGUCCUCCUCCUCUCUCUCUCUCCUGUCUCUCCCCCUCUCCCCCUGUGUGUGUCUCUUUCUGUCUCUGUCUGUCUCUCCCUCUCUUCCCCCAUGCAUGUGUCUGUCUCUCUCCCUCCCCUAUGUGUGUGUAUCUGUCUGUCUUCCUAUCUCUGUCUGUCUCCCUCUCUCCUCCCCCACCACGUGUGUGUGUGUCUCUCUCUCUUCUUUUCCCCCUUAUCGUGUGUUUCUGUCUCUGUCUUUCUCUUCUCUUCUCUUUUGUGUGUGUUUGUCUGUCUCUCUGUCUCUGUGUGUGUGUGCCUGCCCCUCUCUCUCUCUCCCUCUCUCCCUCUCUCUCCCUACCCCCAACACACUGUUUCCCCAGACAUAGUCUUCUGCCUCAUCACAGGCUCAGAGACCAAGUGCCAGGCGGUCAUGAAUGGAACGCCUCUGAAACCAUAACCUCAAAUAAAUCGUCCUCCAUCAUCAGCUGUUCUCUCAGGUUUACAUCAUGGCAAUAAAGAAUUCUUACUACCGCUACUCAUAA
Molecule: long non-coding RNA, 2705 nt
Organism: Rattus norvegicus (Norway rat)
Lineage: Eukaryota; Metazoa; Chordata; Mammalia; Rodentia; Muridae
Source: RefSeq, a predicted model, not a curated record